RNAcentral lists this ribosomal RNA (202 nucleotides) under uncultured bacterium. RNAcentral's name for it is "partial 16S ribosomal RNA". It matches the Rfam family "Bacterial small subunit ribosomal RNA", at positions 524 to 725 of the family's 1533-position model. The record is from RNAcentral.
GACGAACCGUGCGAACGUUGUUCGGAUUCACUGGGCUUAAAGGGCGCGUAGGCGGGUGGUCAAGUCAGAGGUGAAAUCUUUCGGCUCAACCGGAAAAGUGCCCCUGAUACUGGUCACCUCGAGGGAGGUAGGGGCAUGUGGAACUUCCGGUGGAGCGGUGAAAUGCGUAGAUAUCGGAAGGAACGCCGGUAGCGAAAGCGAC